Molecule: ribosomal RNA, 329 nt
Filed under: uncultured Enterobacteriaceae bacterium
Lineage: Bacteria; Pseudomonadati; Pseudomonadota; Gammaproteobacteria; Enterobacterales; Enterobacteriaceae
Description: bacterial SSU rRNA
Rfam family: Bacterial small subunit ribosomal RNA
Source: RNAcentral
GUCAGCUCGUGUUGUGAAAUGUUGGGUUAAGUCCCGCAACGAGCGCAACCCUUAUCCUUUGUUGCCAGCGGUCCGGCCGGGAACGUCAAAGGAGACUGCCAGUGAUAAACUGGAGGAAGGUGGGGAUGACGUCAAGUCAUCAUGGCCCUUACGACCAGGGCUACACACGUGCUACAAUGGCGCAUACAAAGAGAAGCGACCUCGCGAGAGCAAGCGGACCUCAUAAAGUGCGUCGUAGUCCGGAUUGGAGUCUGCAACUCGACUCCAUGAAGUCGGAAUCGCUAGUAAUCGUGGAUCAGAAUGCCACGGUGAAUACGUUCCCGGGCCUU